Molecule: ribosomal RNA, 447 nt
Filed under: uncultured bacterium
Lineage: Bacteria
Description: SSU rRNA
Rfam family: Bacterial small subunit ribosomal RNA
Source: RNAcentral
AGAGCGAACGCUGGCGGCAGGCCUAACACAUGCAAGUCGAGCGGCCGUAGCAAUACGGCAGCGGCAGACGGGAGAGUAACACGUGGGAACGCGCCCUUCGGUUCGGGAUAACUCAGGGAAACUUGGGCUAAUACCGGAUACGCCCUUACGGGGAAAGAUUUAUUGCCGAAGGAACGGCCCGCGUCCGAUUAGCUUGUUGGUGAGGUAACGGCUCACCAAGGCGACGAUCGGUAGCUGGUCUGAGAGGAUGACCAGCCUCACUGGGACUGAGACACGGCCCAGACUCCUACGGGAGGCAGCAGUGGGGAAUAUUGGACAAUGGGCGCAAGCCUGAUCCAGCCAUGCCGCGUGGGUGAUGAAGGCCCUAGGGUUGUAAAGCCCUUUCGGCGGGGAAGAUAAUGACGGUACCCGCAGAAGAAGCCCGGCUAACUUCGCGCCAGCAGCCGC